GGGGGGAGGCCGGAUCCUGGGCUGUGUCCCGGCGCCCUGUGUUCAGGGGCCUGCGCUGUUGGAUUUGCGCUCCCGCCCCCAGCCCCCU
RNAcentral lists this microRNA precursor (88 nucleotides) under Canis lupus familiaris (dog). Its description in RNAcentral is "mir-8799 microRNA precursor family". It matches the Rfam family "mir-8799 microRNA precursor family". Lineage: Eukaryota; Metazoa; Chordata; Mammalia; Carnivora; Canidae. The record is from Rfam by way of RNAcentral.